UACGUAGGGAGCGAGCGUUGUCCGGAAUCAUUGGGCGUAAAGAGCGCGUAGGUGGAUCAAUUAGUCUGCUGUGAAAGUCAAAGGCUCAACCUUUGAAAGCCGGUGGAUACUGUUGAUCUAGAGUACGGAAGAGGCGAGUGGAAUUCCUGGUGUAGCGGUGUAAUGCGCAGAUAUCAGGAGGAACACCAAUAGCGAAGGCAGCUCGCUGGGACGUUACUGACACUGAGGCGCGAAAGCGUGGGGAGCAAACAGG
This 253-nucleotide ribosomal RNA is filed under the name uncultured bacterium. RNAcentral's name for it is "partial 16S ribosomal RNA". It matches the Rfam family "Bacterial small subunit ribosomal RNA", at positions 524 to 776 of the family's 1533-position model. The record is from RNAcentral.